Molecule: ribosomal RNA, 143 nt
Filed under: uncultured eukaryote
Lineage: Eukaryota
Description: partial small subunit ribosomal RNA
Rfam family: Bacterial small subunit ribosomal RNA
Source: RNAcentral
GUACACACCGCCCGUCACACCAUGGGAGUUGGUUUUACCCGAAGACGGUGCGCUAACCGCAAGGAGGCAGCCGGCCACGGUAAGGUCAGCGACUAGGGUGAAGUCGUAACAAGGUUUCCGUAGGUGAACCUGCAGAAGGAUCA